Molecule: non-coding RNA, 115 nt
Organism: Ceratotherium simum simum (southern white rhinoceros)
Lineage: Eukaryota; Metazoa; Chordata; Mammalia; Perissodactyla; Rhinocerotidae
Source: RefSeq, a predicted model, not a curated record
CCACUGAAGUGGGAGGAGCGUGGGGUGGGAGUCUUGUGGGACUGAGCCCUUAACUUGUGGGAUAUGACACUAUCUCCAAGUUGAUAGUGUCAGAAUUGAGUUAAAUUGCAGGACA